CGCACAUUGCGCCUGUUAGUAUUCUGAUAGGCAUGCCUGUUCGAGCGUCAUUUCAACCCUCAGGCCCAGCCUGGCGUUGGGGCCCCGCGACUGCGGACCCCGAAAUCUAGUGGCGGGCUCGCUAUAAGCUUCAGCGCAGUAGAUUUUCUUCGCUGGGAGUUUUUAGCGGGCGCUUGCCGUUAAAAACCCAACUUUGUACUGAUUGACCUCGGAUCAGGUAGGAAUACCCGCUGAACUUAA
This 240-nucleotide unclassified non-coding RNA is filed under the name fungal sp. Its description in RNAcentral is "partial contains 5.8S ribosomal RNA, internal transcribed spacer 2, and large subunit ribosomal RNA". The record is from RNAcentral. Lineage: Eukaryota; Fungi.